RNAcentral lists this long non-coding RNA (1894 nucleotides) under Pelobates cultripes (western spadefoot toad). Lineage: Eukaryota; Metazoa; Chordata; Amphibia; Anura; Pelobatidae. The record is from RNAcentral.
CUUACAAAAGACUGUACAUGCUGCCUGAGAUUCCUAAUAUAAAAUGAAUUCAUGAAGAAUUGAAUGGUGCUUGCUAUGUGCCUGACUGAUGAAAAUAAAUCAGCUUGCUUCAAGUAUGCCUAUUCUUCAAGUAUGCCUAUUCUCCCCUCUUUAGAGAACAGAUCAUUCUGAUCUUUCUCUAAACCUUAUUUAAUCCAAAAACAGAUUCUGGGUAUUAAAAAAAGAAUCUCAUAACCACUGAAGCGCUGGGCUGUCAUGUGUUGUGUGGUGAGAUUUGUCAGCUGAGUGACCUGGUGACUGGCAUGAAGUAUUGUAGGAUGCCCUAGUGUGAUAGUAGUAGCAGUUUCAACAGCCAUUGCACAUGCUAUCAAUGCUCUGAGACACGCCGGCAUACCCUGUACCGGAGCUUGAACUACUUUGGAAAAGAAUGCUAUGGGACGCAUACCGCCUCCUUGCUCUUGUGCACAGACCGCGGCCAUGGUUUUACAAUUGUCCCAAGCAUACAAAUGAAAUGGUUUACAAUACACAGGUAGUCCUAAAGCCUGGGCUUGCACAAUAACAACUGUAAGGGCAAUAUAUGCAGCUAGCAUGUCUGGUGACCAGCAGACAUUUUCAGGGCUGUCAGAACGUACAGCCUCCCUUAGGAUUGAGUUAUAAUGGGAGCAUUCAGGGAUCCAUUGGCGGCAGUAAUUAAUCAUGCCGAGGAAGGUGAGCAACUCCUUCUGAAUAGUGGGUGUAGGAAUCCUCUGAAUGACCUCAAUACAUUUUGGACUCAAUUGUCUGGUGCCUAAAGCCAGAACAAAACCUAAGUAUUCAACCUUUGAUUUACACAAUUGCAUUUUGUGUUUAACAACCUUGUGACCUACAGUUGCUGACAGUAUCCACAGUGCUUGCCUCAUAGCUAGGGCUACAUAACAACAAAUCAUCAACAUUUUGCAAAAAGGACGGAACCAUGACCGGUGGUCCAUGUUUUUUAGAGUAUGUUGGAGUACCAACGAAUAAACAGCUGGGGAAUCCACAUAGCCUUGGGUAAGCGUGUCCAGGUAAACUGGCAGCCUUCAAAAAAUAAAAACCAUAAGUAGCUGUGUCUCUUGAUCAAUAGGUAUAGAAAAAAUGCAUUACUUAAAUCAAUGACAGUGAAGCAAGUGGCAUCAUGUGGAAUGGCUGUAACGAGGGAUGUCAUAUCAGGGACAAUGGGUGAAAUGGGCACAAUUAAACUAUUCAGGGCUCUAAAGUCCUGAACUAAGCGAUAUGCUGGCCAGUGGUGUUGGGAGUGGGUCUGGUGUUGUUCUUGCCUACCGGGCAUAUUUUGAGAAAGGUGGGGUUGUUGGGGUGUGUGGGGUUUCCUGGGGUUUCCUGGGGUGUGGACACUCAUUCCUCCAGUGGCCAUAUUGGCCACAGUUGAAACAAGUGUUCCUGUCUAUUCCUCCUUGGUUACCCCUGCCCUUAUAACCCUGAUUUCCCUGUCUCCAUCCCCUUGCUCCUCUUUGACCACCCCUUCCGCGGGCUUUAUGUGCUCCAUCCCAUCCUCGCUCUCAGCCUGUGUAGCUGGACAUAAUAUGUUGCAAUCCCUGAGCAUAAUAAGCAACCUUACUUUCCUAAAUCUUUUCUUAAUUCAAAACAACCUGCAUUUUCCUUUUCUAUAACCUUGGUAAGAAAAUCUGAGCUAUCCAAAUUGGCCCAGUCUGAAAUCAAUUGUUUCACAAGCAAAUAAUACUGUGGCAACAUAUUACCAAGGCAUGACUGUAUUUUAAAGAUAUCUAUAUCAUCUCCAGACAUCAAACCUGCCUCAUCCUUCCAACACUUGUAAAAUUUCUUUACAAAAAUCAUAUUACCAAUCUCUUCCUUUGCAUCUUGCUUAUAUGCCAAAGCAGUGAAUAUAGACUACCUAUUC